AGUAGAGUAGGUUAAGGUUUUGUGUACAAUAGUUUACUAUGAUGUAAUGGUCAAAUAAACUUGAAACUUUGUACUUUCAAGUGUUCAUUAUGAAGUCAGUGUUUUUUUUAAACUAUUUCAAAUAAGUUACAGAACAUGAAAAUCUGAUUAUGGAAGCAGAGUAUAAUGUGUUAUGGACACAUAUCUUCAUCCCAUAGAGCACCAACCUCCGUACCAGCCUCUCAGUAAUGGCAUAUUGACUUUGACAAUGCCCUUAGUUUACACUGAAAUAAUUGUGAUAAGUCCAGGUUAAGGAGAACCAUUAAAAGUAGGUCAGGGUCGAUUUUAAACUGGCUUAUGCAGUUGAAUAAGCUUUUGGACAAAACAGGUGCUUAGGGAUUUUAAUAAUCCUGAACCCUAAAUCAUGGUUUUAUAACUUACAAUCUUCUGCGGUUUACAUGUUAUUUUAUGCUUAAGCCAGUUUAAAAUCGACCACUUAUUAAUAGGAUUUAGAGGAGGCCUAGGCCACCCUUUUGGAGGGACAAUUUGGUUGAUAUUAUAUUUAGGAAAUUACUGAAGCAUGACAAAAGGGAUGCAGUAGAG
RNAcentral lists this long non-coding RNA (582 nucleotides) under Mytilus galloprovincialis (Mediterranean mussel). Lineage: Eukaryota; Metazoa; Mollusca; Bivalvia; Mytilida; Mytilidae. The record is from RNAcentral.